CCUACGGGAGGCAGCAGUGAGGAAUAUUGGUCAAUGGACGAGAGUCUGAACCAGCCAAGCCGCGUGAAGGAUGACUGCACUCUGGGUUGUAAACUUCUUUUAUAUGGGAAUAAAGACUUCGACGCGUGUGAUGUUGUCUGUACCUUAUGAAUAAGGAUCGGCUAACUCCGUGCCAGCAGCCGCGGUAAUACGGAGGAUGCGAGCGUUAUCCGGAUUUAUUGGGUUUAAAGGGAGCGUAGGUGGAUUGUUAAGUCAGGUGUGAAAGUUGGGGGCUCAACCCGAAAAUUGCAGUUGAAACUGGCAGUCUUGAGUACAGGAGAGGUAGGCGGAAUGCGUGGUGUAGCGGUGAAAUGCUUAGAUAUCACGAAGAACGCCGAUUGCGAAGGCAGCUCACUGGACUGCAACUGACACUGAGGCUCGAAAGUGUGGGUAUCAAACAGGAUUAGAUACCCCAGUAGUC
Molecule: ribosomal RNA, 460 nt
Filed under: uncultured bacterium
Lineage: Bacteria
Description: partial 16S ribosomal RNA
Rfam family: Bacterial small subunit ribosomal RNA
Source: RNAcentral